RNAcentral lists this ribosomal RNA (681 nucleotides) under uncultured Lachnospiraceae bacterium. Its description in RNAcentral is "bacterial SSU rRNA". It matches the Rfam family "Bacterial small subunit ribosomal RNA", at positions 57 to 739 of the family's 1533-position model. The record is from RNAcentral. Lineage: Bacteria; Bacillati; Bacillota; Clostridia; Lachnospirales; Lachnospiraceae.
GCAAGUCGAACGGGAAAUAUUUCAUUGAGACUUCGGUGGAUUUGAUCUAUUUCUAGUGGCGGACGGGUGAGUAACGCGUGGGUAACCUGCCUUAUACAGGGGGAUAACAGUCAGAAAUGGCUGCUAAUACCGCAUAAGCGCACAGAGCUGCAUGGCUCAGUGUGAAAAACUCCGGUGGUAUAAGAUGGACCCGCGUUGGAUUAGCUAGUUGGUGGGGUAACGGCCCACCAAGGCGACGAUCCAUAGCCGGCCUGAGAGGGUGAACGGCCACAUUGGGACUGAGACACGGCCCAGACUCCUACGGGAGGCAGCAGUGGGGAAUAUUGCACAAUGGGGGAAACCCUGAUGCAGCGACGCCGCGUGAAGGAAGAAGUAUCUCGGUAUGUAAACUUCUAUCAGCAGGGAAGAUAGUGACGGUACCUGACUAAGAAGCCCCGGCUAACUACGUGCCAGCAGCCGCGGUAAUACGUAGGGGGCAAGCGUUAUCCGGAUUUACUGGGUGUAAAGGGAGCGUAGACGGUGUGGCAAGUCUGAUGUGAAAGGCAUGGGCUCAACCUGUGGACUGCAUUGGAAACUGUCGUACUUGAGUGCCGGAGGGGUAAGCGGAAUUCCUAGUGUAGCGGUGAAAUGCGUAGAUAUUAGGAGGAACACCAGUGGCGAAGGCGGCUUACUGGACGGUAA